Molecule: ribosomal RNA, 465 nt
Filed under: uncultured bacterium
Lineage: Bacteria
Description: partial 16S ribosomal RNA
Rfam family: Bacterial small subunit ribosomal RNA
Source: RNAcentral
UCUACGGGUGGCAGCAGUAGGGAAUCUUCCACAAUGGGCGAAAGCCUGAUGGAGCAACGCCGCGUGGGUGAAGAAGGUCUUCGGAUCGUAAAACCCUGUUGUUAGAGAAGAAAGUGCGUGAGAGUAACUGUUCACGUUUCGACGGUAUCUAACCAGAACGCCACGGCUAACUACGUGCCAGCAGCCGCGGUACGACGGAGGUGGCAAGCGGUGUCCGGAUUUAUUGGGCGUAAAGGGAACGAAGGCGGUCUUUUAAGUCUGAUGUGAAAGCCGUCGGCUUAACCGGAGUAGUGCAUUGGAAACUGGGAGACUUGAGAGUAGAAGAGGAAAGUGGAACGCAAUGUGUAGCGGUGAAAUGCGUAGAUAUAUGGAAGAACACCAGUGGCGAAGGCGGCUCUCUGGUCUGUAACUGACGCUGAGGUUCGAAAGCGUGGGGAGCAAACAGGAGUAGAUACCCGAGUAGUC